RNAcentral lists this ribosomal RNA (439 nucleotides) under uncultured bacterium. RNAcentral describes it as "partial 16S ribosomal RNA". It matches the Rfam family "Bacterial small subunit ribosomal RNA", at positions 338 to 794 of the family's 1533-position model. The record is from RNAcentral.
CCUACGGGAGGCAGCAGUGGGGGAUAUUGCACAAUGGGCGAAACCCUGAUGCAGCGACGCCGCGUGUGGGAAGACGGUCCUCUGGAUUGUAAACCACUGUCCCCAGGGACGAAGAUGACGGUACCUGGGGAGGAAGCUCCGGCUAACUACGUGCCAGCAGCCGCGGUAAUACGUAGGGAGCGAGCGUUGUCCGGAAUUACUGGGUGUAAAGGGAGCGUAGGCGGGGAUGCAAGUUGGGUGUCAAAACUACCGGCUCAACUGGUAGUCGCACUCAAAACUGCAGCUCUUGAGUGAAGUAGGGGCAGGCGGAAUUCAUAGUGUAGCGGUGAAAUGGGUAGAUAUUAGGAGGAACACCAGUGGCGAGGGCGGCCUGCUGGGCUUUUACUGACGCUGAGGCUCGAAGGUGUGGGGAGCAAACAGGAUUAGAUACCCUUGUGGU